RNAcentral lists this ribosomal RNA (118 nucleotides) under Suricata suricatta (meerkat). The record is from RNAcentral. Lineage: Eukaryota; Metazoa; Chordata; Mammalia; Carnivora; Herpestidae.
GUCUAUGGCCAUACCACCCUGAAUGCACCUGAUCUUGUCUGAACCCGGAAGCUAAGCAGGGUUGGGCCUGGUUAGUACUUGGAUGGGAGACCACAUGGGAAUACGGGUGCUCUAGGCG